Molecule: long non-coding RNA, 925 nt
Filed under: Anas platyrhynchos platyrhynchos (common mallard)
Lineage: Eukaryota; Metazoa; Chordata; Aves; Anseriformes; Anatidae
Description: lncRNA (ENSAPLG00000023385.1)
Source: RNAcentral
AUGCCUGGGCCACAGGGUCCUCCUGGAGGUGCUGGUAGACCAGGUGUGUCAAGACCUGGUCUGAGAGGUCCCCCGGGAUUUCCUGGCCCAAAAGGAAAAAAAGGAGAAAAAGGACAAACAGGCUUGUGCAUUGUAGGCCCUCCAGGACUACCUGGGAUUACUGGCAGACCUGGUUCUGUUGGAUUACCAGGUCCUCCAGGAGAACCAGGUAGAGUAAUAUUUAGAACAGGCCCACCAGGACGUCCUGGAGAGCCAGGGUAUGCAGGACCUCCAGGACCUCCAGGAGAUGUUGGCAUGAAAGGUGAUGAAGCUUGCGUGUGUACUGAUUGUAGCUAUGUUCCGGGAACACCUGGUCUUCCUGGUUCGCCUGGGCCACACGGCCAGGAUGGCAUCCCAGGUAGGGAAGGAAUACAAGGUCCCAAAGGAGCUCCAGGUCCUCCAGGAGCACCAGGGUUUCCAGGAGCUCAAGUAAGACUUGCAUUUUCCAAAUUAUUUUUCAGAUCCCACAAGAAUUUCAUGGAAAUGUCAUGGCCAACAUUAAAUGAAGUGUCAUAUUAGGUGAUAUCAACAGUUUUCUGUUGCAGCCUCACCUUGAGUAUUGUGUACAGUUUUGGGCUCCACAAUGUAGAAAGGAUAUUAAGAAACUUGAAAGCUUCCAGAGGAAGAUAACAAAGUUGGUAUUAAAAAGGCUGGAGGGCAUGUCUUAUGAGGAGAGACGGAGGACACUUGGUUUGUCUAGUUUGGAUGAAAGAAGGCUAAGAAGCACACUCAUUGCUCUCUACAACUUCUUGAGUAGGGGAAAUGGAGAGAGAGGUGCUGAUCUCUUCACCCCGGUAACUAGUGAUAGGAUGCGAGGGAACAAGGGAACAGCAUAGAGCUGUGCCAGGGAAGGGGUUCUGCCUGAAUGUUAGGAAAAAGCUCUUUA